AACGCACCUUGCACCCUUUGGUAUUCCGAAGGGUACACCCGUUUGAGUGUCAUUGUAAUCUCACUACAACCGCUUUUUUGUUGUUGUAUGUGGACUUGGAUGUUGCCGUGUAACACACGGCUCGUCUGAAAUGCCUGAGUGUACCCUGCUUUGCGGCGUAUUCGGUGUGAUAAAUCUUCACCGGAGUUGACCCUCAGGUCACGUCCGCUUGACAUGGCUCUAUGCUUCCAACCGUCCUGACAAGACAAUCUUUGACAAUUUGACCUCAAAUCGGGUGGGACUACCCGCUGAACUUAA
Molecule: unclassified non-coding RNA, 297 nt
Filed under: uncultured Sebacinaceae
Lineage: Eukaryota; Fungi; Basidiomycota; Agaricomycetes; Sebacinales; Sebacinaceae
Description: sequence contains ITS2
Source: RNAcentral